RNA transcript from Ziziphus jujuba (common jujube), 3212 nucleotides. It is a transcript of the gene named probable xyloglucan glycosyltransferase 12, with no coding region annotated. Lineage: Eukaryota; Viridiplantae; Streptophyta; Magnoliopsida; Rosales; Rhamnaceae. The record is from RefSeq and is a predicted model, not a curated record. The transcript has 6 exons.
CCUUUUUGCAAGCUGUAAUUGAAUGGGAGCUCAUUUUGGACCCCAGACCCACCAAGUCAUAGCUAACCGUGUCUCUCUCAGCUCCUUCCUCUGUCUCUCUGUCUCUGUCUCUCUCUCUCUCAAAAAACACAGUUCCCGUAUAAGUUGUCUCCAAAUGUCGUAAUGAUUUAGAGACGCCUUGCUCUUCUUCCUCCUCCACGCGUGCCUGCGUUUCCUCCAUUUCCCAAUUUCUCAAUCUUUCCUGACAAUGAGAUCGAACUCCUAGCCUUUUUCUGUUCUGGGUUUUCAUAUUCAAGCGGUUUGACAGCCUUAAGCCUAGGGGUGAGGGGGUUUGGGUCUGCCAAAAUAAAAAAUAAAAAAUAAAAAAAAGAAAAAAAGUUGUAUUUUUGCGAAGUGGGUUUUUGAGAUCAGACCCCAAUAAUGGCACCCUCGUUUGAUUGGUGGGCAAAGGAGAGCCAUCGAGGUACGCCGGUGGUGGUCAAAAUGGAGAACCCCAACUGGUCCAUGGUUGAGCUAGAGGGUCCGUCAGAGGAUGACUUCCUCAUCACCGAUUCACCGGGUCGUACCCGAGACAAAGGCCGUGGAAAGAACGCCAAGCAGCUCACUUGGGUCCUCCUUCUCAAAGCCCACAGAGCCGCCGGUUGCUUGACCUCCAUUGGCUCCGCAAUGUUCGGUCUCGCCGCCGCAGUACGACGCCGUGUCGCUUCCGGUCGGACAGAUACCGACGCUGAUGCCGAUAACGACAUCCAAACCAGUGGCGACCGAGGAAAUGAAAACCCCACAGUGAAGAGCAGGUUCUAUGGUUGUAUAAAAGUGUUUCUUUGGCUUUCUGUGCUUUUGUUAGGGUUUGAAGUGGCAGCUUAUUUUAAGGGUUGGCAUUUUGGUACACCGCAUUUUCAACUGCAGUCCUUAUGGGCUACGCCAUUUGGGGUUAAGGGUUUCUUCGAUUGGGUUUAUUUGAAGUGGGUUUCCAUUCGGGUGGAGUACCUCGCUCCUCCUCUUCAAUUCCUAGCCAAUGCCUGUAUUGUGCUCUUCCUUAUUCAGAGUGUGGAUAGGCUAAUCCUUUGCUUGGGCUGUUUCUGGAUCCGAUUUAAGAAGAUCAAACCAGUUCCAAAGGAAGGUGUUGUUGAUCUUGAAUCUGGUGAAAAAGAUGGUUUCUUCCCCAUGGUUCUUGUGCAGAUCCCCAUGUGCAAUGAAAAGGAGGUUUAUCAGCAAUCGAUUGCUGCUGUUUGCAAUUUAGACUGGCCUAAAUCGAAAUUGUUAAUUCAAAUUCUUGAUGAUUCGGAUGACCCGACAACACAGCUGCUGAUCAAAGAGGAGGUUCACAAAUGGCAGCAAGAAGGUGCUAACAUUGUCUAUCGGCAUCGGGUUCUUAGAGAUGGUUACAAGGCUGGUAAUCUCAAGUCUGCGAUGAAUUGCAGUUAUGUCAAAGACUACGAGUUCGUUGCCAUUUUUGACGCUGAUUUUCAGCCCAACUCUGAUUUUCUUAAAAGAACAGUCCCACACUUCAAGGAUAACGAAGAACUGGGGCUGGUUCAGGCAAGGUGGUCCUUUGUAAAUAAGGACGAGAACCUACUGACGAGGUUGCAGAAUAUUAAUUUGGCAUUUCACUUCGAGGUAGAACAGCAAGUGAACGGUGUUUUCAUUAAUUUCUUUGGUUUCAAUGGGACGGCCGGUGUGUGGAGGAUAAAGGCUUUGGAAGAUGCUGGUGGUUGGUUAGAAAGGACCACUGUUGAGGACAUGGACAUUGCUGUGCGAGCACACCUUCAUGGAUGGAAAUUCAUCUUCCUCAAUGAUGUUGAGUGCCAGUGUGAAUUACCAGAAUCUUAUGAAGCUUAUAGGAAACAACAACACAGAUGGCAUUCUGGACCCAUGCAGUUGUUUCGCCUCUGUUUGCCUGAUAUCAUCCGGUCCAAGAUCAGCUUCUGGAAGAAAUUCAAUAUGAUAUUUCUCUUCUUUCUUCUCCGGAAACUUAUUUUGCCCUUCUAUUCUUUUACACUUUUUUGCAUUAUUCUCCCAAUGACAAUGUUCAUCCCUGAGGCUGAGCUCCCAGCCUGGGUUGUAUGUUAUAUCCCAGCAACUAUGUCAUUUCUCAAUAUCCUUCCAGCCCCCAAAUCAUUUCCUUUCAUUGUUCCUUACCUUCUAUUUGAGAACACCAUGUCGGUGACCAAGUUUAAUGCCAUGAUCUCUGGGUUAUUCCAGCUUGGUAGUGCAUACGAAUGGGUCGUCACUAAGAAGUCCGGGCGAUCAUCUGAGGGUGAUCUUGUUUCCUUGGUUGAGAAAGAACCAAAGCAUCAAAGGGGGGUCUCAGUACCUGAUCUUGAGGAAAUGAAGGAGGAAAUUCGACAGCAGGAACAGAAGGCUUCUAGAAAGAAGAAGCAUAACAGGAUAUAUACAAAGGAGCUCGCACUGGCUUUCCUUCUUCUAACAGCUUCAGCAAGGAGCCUCCUUUCUGCUCAGGGUAUCCAUUUUUACUUCUUGCUGUUUCAGGGAAUAUCCUUCCUGCUGGUUGGUCUCGACUUGAUUGGUGAGCAGGUUGCUUGAACAGAAAAUGAUAGGACAUUGUAGGGAUUUGUGAAUGAUAUAGAACACCGGUGGUUAUCAUAUCAAAGUCCAUUGAGAAAGAUCUGCCAAGGGGAGGUUGUAGAGGGCCGAGAUUGCUUACAUUCCUGCAUGCCUCCAACCUCUUGACUCCAAAUCUAUUCCUCCCAACAUGAAAACAGUUGUGCUAUAUAUGAACAGAAAGCAGUUCGACAGUCUGAAGACAUAGAGGCCCAAUCAGAAAUGAAUCUGUUCCCCCACACGGCACUUUGGGGUGCUUGGAGCAUAAGAGCAGCAGCCCCUAUCAUUUAGGUUUUGAGUUGCCUUUCGAGGAGAACCAGCGUCUAAAAUCUACUGUAGUAUGUCUAGAACAUCAAAAGGUAAAAAGAUAAAACAAAAAAGAAAAUGCCAGUUUCAUACUAUUGUAGACCUUUCUUCAUUUUAGCAUGCUAUCAUUUUCAUACAUUCACCCAAAAAAAAAAAAAUGCUAUCAUUUUCACACAAGUUUUAAUAUCUAUGUUUUGGUAAGAUAUGUCUUACCAUGUAAAAUAUAUGUAUAUAUAUAUAUAUAUAAUGAAUGGCCAGUGUAACAAUUACAUAUGUUACUGUAAUUGGAAGGUUUAAUGUGUUAAUCAAAGAUGAUUGAAAUUUGCUGCUGUUGACAGCAAUUA